AGCAGCCGCGGUAAUUCCAGCUCCAAUAGCGUAUAUUAAAGUUGUUGCAGUUAAAAAGCUCGUAGUUGAAUUUCGGAAUCUGUCCAUCGGUCGGGCUUCACUGUCCGUACUGGUGUGGUGGGUUCUUACCUUCUGAAUAACCAGCAUGCCAUUCACUUGGUGCGUUGGGGAAGCAGGACUAUUACCUUGAAAAAUUAGAGUGCUCAAAGUAGGCUAGUGCCUGAAUACAUUAGCAUGGAAUAAUAAAAUAGGACGGCAUGGUUCUAUUUUGUUGGUUUCUAGGAUCACCGUAAUGAUUAAUAGGGAUAGUUGGGGGCAUUAGUAUUCAAUUGUCAGAGGUGAAAUUCUUGGAUUUAUUGAAGACUAACUUCUGCGAAAGCAUUUGCCAAGGAUGUUUUCAUUAAUCAAGAACGAAAGUUAGGGGAUCGAAGACGAUCAGAUACCGUCGUAGUCUUAACCAUAAACUAUGCCGACUAGGGAUCGGACGAUGUUAAUUUUUAAUGACUCGUUCGGCGUACCG
This 520-nucleotide ribosomal RNA is filed under the name uncultured Glomeromycotina. Its description in RNAcentral is "SSU rRNA". It matches the Rfam family "Eukaryotic small subunit ribosomal RNA", at positions 569 to 1088 of the family's 1831-position model. The record is from RNAcentral. Lineage: Eukaryota; Fungi; Glomeromycota.